AAAUGGUAAUGCUACAUUGAUACCAUGAAGAAUAGAUACCACUACUGAGAAGUGCUUCUAUUGUGUUUCAGUUCCAGCUUUGUUAUCUACUUGAACUCUAUUUCAAUCUCUAUAUACAAGAAUAAGGUUUUCUUCUCGCUUUGGAGACAAGCCAGAGCCUUUUAACAACACAUUAUGCUGGUGACUGGGUAGUUCCAGGGGCUAAUGAGGAGACAGAAAAUCACAGUGAACCCAGUGACCAUUUCAAAUCCAAGUGUUGCAUCGGAGCAGUUUUCCAAAGCUGGUGAUGCUCCUUUGCAGAUCAGUGAUUUGCUUCAGGAUGCCCCUCACUCUCCUGCACUAACUGCAGCUCCUGCUGAAGUGGGAAAGAAAAGAACAUAUUGAAAAAGAGAGAGAAGACAAAGAGGAAAGUGUGCUUCUGGAUUUUGCAAAUAUCUCUAAACGUCACUACAAGAUUUUACCUGCACACUCACCAAUUUCAUGUUAGGCAUGGCAAGU
Molecule: long non-coding RNA, 498 nt
Organism: Cygnus olor (mute swan)
Lineage: Eukaryota; Metazoa; Chordata; Aves; Anseriformes; Anatidae
Exons: 4
Source: RefSeq, a predicted model, not a curated record